Molecule: long non-coding RNA, 432 nt
Organism: Syngnathus acus (greater pipefish)
Lineage: Eukaryota; Metazoa; Chordata; Actinopteri; Syngnathiformes; Syngnathidae
Exons: 2
Source: RefSeq, a predicted model, not a curated record
UGGGCGACUAGCCACGGCUUCAGGCGGACACGUCGCGGCGUCACCGACAUGGCGACUGGCUGAGAAAACACAAGGCAGCGAAGCCUCACCACGCCCACUUCCCACUCAGCCGAAACUCAGGUACGCCUGUGACGUCACACUGAUGACACACCUUUUCCAGAAUGUCAAACUCACGAGUCGUGUACGCUCCAAGUACAUCGUAAUUUUUUUUGCGUCAUCAUAUUUUCUAUUUUAUAUCGUCUCUGCUGGCCCAAAUACUAAUAGAAACACUGACAAAUUCGAAUGUUGGCUCAGUGAAAUCGGGUUUAUUUAUGCCCAAGUGUUUGUCUUGGCUGCAUUGCUUUUAAGAUUUGUAACAACCUAUAUGAACCUCAAGAUAAAAUUGGCCACAAAAUGCCUGCACACUGUCAUAAAAUUGUGUAAAAAAAAAAA